UACAGAGGUCCCAAGCGUUGUUCGGAAUUACUGGGCGUAAAGCGCGUGUAGGCUGCUCCGCAAGUCGGGUGUGAAAGCCCUGGGCUCAACCUAGGAAGUGCACUCGAAACUGCGGAGCUGGAGUCCUGGAGAGGAAGGCGGAAUUCUCGGUGUAGAGGUGAAAUUCGUAGAUAUCGGGAGGAACACCGGUGGCGAAGGCGGCCUUCUGGACAGUGACUGACGCUGAGACGCGAAAGCGUGGGGAGCGAACAGG
RNAcentral lists this ribosomal RNA (253 nucleotides) under uncultured bacterium. RNAcentral describes it as "partial 16S ribosomal RNA". It matches the Rfam family "Bacterial small subunit ribosomal RNA", at positions 524 to 776 of the family's 1533-position model. The record is from RNAcentral.